GACGAACGCUGGCGGCGUGCCUAAUACAUGCCAGUCGAACGCUUCUUUCCUCCCGAGUGCUUGCACUCAAUUGGAAAGAGGAGUGGCGGACGGGUGAGUAACACGUGGGUAACCUACCCAUCAGAGGGGGAUGACACUUGGAAACAGGUGCUAAUACCGCAUAACAGUUUAUGCCGCAUGGCAUAAGAGUGAAAGGCGCUUUCGGGUGUCGCUGAUGGAUGGACCCGCGGUGCAUUAGCUAGUUGGUGAGGUAACGGCUCACCAAGGCCACGAUGCAUAGCCGACCUGAGAGGGUGAUCGGCCACACUGGGACUGAGACACGGCCCAGACUCCUACGGGAGGCAGCAGUAGGGAAUCUUCGGCAAUGGACGAAAGUCUGACCGAGCAACGCCGCGUGAGUGAAGAAGGUUUUCGGAUCGUAAAACUCUGUUGUUAGAGAAGAACAAGGACGUUAGUAACUGAACGUCCCCUGACGGUAUCUAACCAGAAAGCCACGGCUAACUACGUG
Molecule: ribosomal RNA, 508 nt
Filed under: uncultured bacterium
Lineage: Bacteria
Description: partial 16S ribosomal RNA
Rfam family: Bacterial small subunit ribosomal RNA
Source: RNAcentral